RNAcentral lists this ribosomal RNA (254 nucleotides) under uncultured bacterium. RNAcentral's name for it is "partial 16S ribosomal RNA". It matches the Rfam family "Bacterial small subunit ribosomal RNA", at positions 524 to 776 of the family's 1533-position model. The record is from RNAcentral.
UACGUAGGGGGCAGGCGUUGUCCGGAUUUAUUGGGCGUAAAGAGCUCGUAGGUGGUUCGGUAAGUCGGAUGUGAAAUUUCCAGGCUCAACCUGGAGGGGUCAUUCGAUACUGCCGUGACUAGAGUUCGGUAGGGGAGUGUGGAAUUCCUGGUGGAGCGGUGAAAUGCGCAGAUAUCAGGAGGAACACCCGUAGCGAAGGCGGCACUCUGGGCCGAUACUGACACUGAGGAGCGAAAGCGUGGGGAGCGAACAGG